Felis catus (domestic cat) is the source of this 1215-nucleotide long non-coding RNA. RefSeq lists it as uncharacterized. The record is from RefSeq and is a predicted model, not a curated record. NCBI's taxonomy places the organism in Eukaryota, Metazoa, Chordata, Mammalia, Carnivora, Felidae. The transcript is spliced from 4 exons.
UCUUGAGGUAGUGGGUUUGAGCCCCGUGUUGGGAGUAGACAUUACUUAAAAAAAUAAGAUCUUAAAAACAAACAAACAAACAAACAAGGCACAGCUUCACCUUUUGUUCCUGCAGUGUUCACAUACGUUUGGUACAUUAACUAAAGUCAGAGGAUCAUGAAAACGGGUCUCUCUAGAGAAGCCACAUGAAGAUAAUGGACACGUGAUCGUACUGGUCCCUUCAGCUGACCUGUCAUCAGUUUUUUGAAGAAUCUGGCUGUUUUCUCUUUGCACCAAGCUCUGAACACAACAGCAGACAGUGGGAUGAGCAUAAGGAGCGCUCCACGGUGGUAAUUCCGCACUGGACCAGGGCCUGGCCUCGGAGCAGAUUAGGGCUCUUUAACCAGGGGACCGCAGGCCUCUCGACUCUUAGUGAGUUCAGCUCUCGGCCUGCUCAAGACAAAAUCAGAAAUGCGACGGUUCUGCGACCACCACAGGACAUCGAAUCAGCACUUACGAAUGAGCCUCAAGAAAGCAUGGAGCUGAGAUGGCUUUCCUGGUGACAGCUGCCCUUCAAGGAACAGAGAAGUCCUGGGACACAACUCAUCUGGAGAGUGGGAAGAGGGAAGCUCCCCAACUCGCUUAAUGAGGCCAGCAAAACAUCGAUACCCUAAGUCGGUUUAUUAUUAACCUGGCCGGUAGGAGUGAUGGCAAGGGCAUCCUAGUGUGUGAGAAAGAAAACACGCAAGCCCAUCUUGUUAUUAAUAUAUAAACACAAAAAUGUGAAACACAGUAUUGGCCAGAUCCGGCGAUGCACGGGAAAGACAACCCAUCAGGGCCAUGUUGGAUUACUCCUAGGAAUGCAAGAUGAAUGUAACCGGGGGAAAGCUGAUGAAUGUAAUUUGCUUUAUGAACAGAAUAAAAGCAAAAAUCUACUGAAAAUAAAAGCUUCCUGAAAAAAUUCACAGCCCUUCUUAUGGAAACUCUCGGGAAACCAAGAGUAGAAGCAAACUUCCUUAGUCUCAUAGAAGAUGUUUGCGAAAAACCUACGAUAAAUCGCAUACUUAACGGUGAGAUGUUGCAAACAUCCCCUUUCAGGCCAGGAAGAAGACCUUCUCGAAGACCCUUCCACCGUGAUCCCUUCUCCCAUCUCCCCGCCGCCAGGAUCACACUCCCUUCGCAAUUCUCCCAGAGCGCUUUGUCUACACCUCUAGAAGGACCGGCCACUGUCUGCCC